RNAcentral lists this ribosomal RNA (476 nucleotides) under Peptostreptococcus stomatis. RNAcentral's name for it is "bacterial SSU rRNA". It matches the Rfam family "Bacterial small subunit ribosomal RNA", at positions 28 to 491 of the family's 1533-position model. Lineage: Bacteria; Bacillati; Bacillota; Clostridia; Peptostreptococcales; Peptostreptococcaceae. The record is from RNAcentral.
GAUGAACGCUGGCGGCGUGCCUAACACAUGCAAGUCGAGCGAGGGUUUGCUCAGUAUUGAGUAUUCUAAAACUAGAAUGUUCAAUUCUGAGCAAAACCAAGCGGCGGACGGGUGAGUAACGCGUGGGUAACCUGCCCUAUACACAUGGAUAACAUACUGAAAAGUUUACUAAUACAUGAUAAUAUAUAUUUGUGGCAUCGCAGAUAUAUCAAAGUGUUAGCGGUAUAGGAUGGACCCGCGUCUGAUUAGCUAGUUGGUGAGAUAACUGCCCACCAAGGCGACGAUCAGUAGCCGACCUGAGAGGGUGAUCGGCCACAUUGGAACUGAGACACGGUCCAAACUCCUACGGGAGGCAGCAGUGGGGAAUAUUGCACAAUGGGCGAAAGCCUGAUGCAGCAACGCCGCGUGAACGAUGAAGGUCUUCGGAUCGUAAAGUUCUGUUGCAGGGGAAGAUAAUGACGGUACCCUGGAGGAGC